AUUGAACGCUGGCGGCAGGCCUAACACAUGCAAGUCGAGCGAGCGGCGGACGGGUGAGUAAUGUAUGGGAAACUGCCUGAUGGAGGGGGAUAACUACUGGAAACGGUAGCUAAUACCGCAUACCAUCGGAUGUGCCCAGAUGGGAUUAGCUAGUAGGUGGGGUAAAGGCUCACCUAGGCGACGAUCACUAGCUGGUCUGAGAGGAUGAACAGCCACACUGGAACUGAGACACGGUCCAGACUCCUACGGGAGGCAGCAGUGGGGAAUAUUGCACAAUGGGCGCAAGCCUGAUGCAGCCAUGCCGCGUGUGUGAAGAAGGCCUUCGGGUUGUAAAGCACUUUCAGCGGGGAGGCGUUACCCGCAGAAGAAGCACCGGCUAACUCCGUGCCAGCCGCCGCGGUAAUUC
Molecule: ribosomal RNA, 406 nt
Filed under: uncultured bacterium
Lineage: Bacteria
Description: partial 16S ribosomal RNA
Rfam family: Bacterial small subunit ribosomal RNA
Source: RNAcentral